This 370-nucleotide ribosomal RNA is filed under the name uncultured organism. RNAcentral describes it as "bacterial SSU rRNA". It matches the Rfam family "Bacterial small subunit ribosomal RNA", at positions 526 to 896 of the family's 1533-position model. The record is from RNAcentral.
CGUAGGGUGCGAGCGUUAAUCGGAAUUACUGGGCGUAAAGCGUGCGCAGGCGGUUAUAUAAGACAGAUGUGAAGUCCCCGGGCUCAACCUGGGAACUGCAUUUGUGACUGUAUAGCUAGAGUACGGCAGAGGGGGAUGGAAUUCCGCGUGUAGCAGUGAAAUGCGUAGAUAUGCGGAGGAACACCGAUGGCGAAGGCAAUCCCCUGGGCCUGUACUGACGCUCAUGCACGAAAGCGUGGGGAGCAAACAGGAUUAGAUACCCUGGUAGUCCACGCCCUAAACGAUGUCAACUGGUUGUUGGGUCUUCACUGACUCAGUAACGAAGCUAACGCGUGAAGUUGACCGCCUGGGGAGUACGGCCGCAAGGUUG